GGGUUGUGAGGUUAAGCGACUAAGCGUACACGGUGGAUGCCCUGGCAGUCAGAGGCGAUGAAGGGCGUGCUAAUCUGCGAUAAGCGCCGGUAAGGUGAUAUGAACCGUUAUAACCGGCGAUACCCGAAUGGGGAAACCCAGUGUGACUCGUCACACUAUCAUUAACUGAAUCCAUAGGUUAAUGAGGCGAACCGGGGGAACUGAAACAUCUAAGUACCCCGAGGAAAAGAAAUCAACCGAGAUUCCCCCAGUAGCGGCGAGCGAACGGGGAGGAGCCCAGAGCCUGAAUCAGCAUGUGUGUUAGUGGAAGCGUCUGGAAAGGCGCGCGAUACAGGGUGACAGCCCCGUACACAAAAGCGCAUGUGCUGUGAGCUCGAUGAGUAGGGCGGGACACGUGGUAUCCUGUCUGAAUAUGGGGGGACCAUCCUCCAAGGCUAAAUACUCCUGACUGACCGAUAGUGAACCAGUACCGUGAGGGAAAGGCGAAAAGAACCCCGGCGAGGGGAGUGAAAAAGAACCUGAAACCGUGUACGUACAAGCAGUGGGAGCACAGGUUUACCUGUGUGACUGCGUACCUUUUGUAUAAUGGGUCAGCGACUUAUAUUCUGUAGCAAGGUUAACCGAAUAGGGGAGCCGGAGGGAAACCGAGUCUUAACCGGGCGUUAAGUUGCAGGGUAUAGACCCGAAACCCGGUGAUCUAGCCAUGGGCAGGUUGAAGGUUGGGUAACACUAACUGGAGGACCGAACCGACUAAUGUUGAAAAAUUAGCGGAUGACCUGUGGCUGGGGGUGAAAGGCCAAUCAAACCGGGAGAUAGCUGGUUCUCCCCGAAAGCUAUUUAGGUAGCGCCUCGUGAAUUCAUCUCCGGGGGUAGAGCACUGUUUCGGCUAGGGGGCCAUCCCGGCUUACCAACCCGAUGCAAACUGCGAAUACCGGAGAAUGUUAUCACGGGAGACACACGGCGGGUGCUAACGUCCGUCGUGAAGAGGGAAACAACCCAGACCGCCAGCUAAGGUCCCAAAGUCAUGGUUAAGUGGGAAACGAUGUGGGAAGGCCCAGACAGCCAGGAUGUUGGCUUAGAAGCAGCCAUCAUUUAAAGAAAGCGUAAUAGCUCACUGGUCGAGUCGGCCUGCGCGGAAGAUGUAACGGGGCUAAACCAUGCACCGAAGCUGCGGCAGCGACGCUUAUGCGUUGUUGGGUAGGGGAGCGUUCUGUAAGCCUGUGAAGGUGGCCUGUGAGGGUUGCUGGAGGUAUCAGAAGUGCGAAUGCUGACAUAAGUAACGAUAAAGCGGGUGAAAAGCCCGCUCGCCGGAAGACCAAGGGUUCCUGUCCAACGUUAAUCGGGGCAGGGUGAGUCGACCCCUAAGGCGAGGCCGAAAGGCGUAGUCGAUGGGAAACGGGUUAAUAUUCCCGUACUUGGUGUUACUGCGAAGGGGGACGGAGAAGGCUAUGUUGGCCGGGCGACGGUUGUCCCGGUUUAAGCGUGUAGGUGUGUGUUCCAGGUAAAUCCGGUUCACUUUAACACUGAGGCGUGAUGACGAGGCACUACGGUGCUGAAGCAACAAAUGCCCUGCUUCCAGGAAAAGCCUCUAAGCAUCAGGUAACAUCAAAUCGUACCCCAAACCGACACAGGUGGUCAGGUAGAGAAUACCAAGGCGCUUGAGAGAACUCGGGUGAAGGAACUAGGCAAAAUGGUGCCGUAACUUCGGGAGAAGGCACGCUGACACGUAGGUGAAGUGAUUUACUCAUGGAGCUGAAGUCAGUCGAAGAUACCAGCUGGCUGCAACUGUUUAUUAAAAACACAGCACUGUGCAAACACGAAAGUGGACGUAUACGGUGUGACGCCUGCCCGGUGCCGGAAGGUUAAUUGAUGGGGUCAGCGCAAGCGAAGCUCCUGAUCGAAGCCCCGGUAAACGGCGGCCGUAACUAUAACGGUCCUAAGGUAGCGAAAUUCCUUGUCGGGUAAGUUCCGACCUGCACGAAUGGCGUAAUGAUGGCCAGGCUGUCUCCACCCGAGACUCAGUGAAAUUGAACUCGCUGUGAAGAUGCAGUGUACCCGCGGCAAGACGGAAAGACCCCGUGAACCUUUACUAUAGCUUGACACUGAACAUUGAGCCUUGAUGUGUAGGAUAGGUGGGAGGCUUUGAAGCGUGGACGCCAGUCUGCGUGGAGCCGACCUUGAAAUACCACCCUUUAAUGUUUGAUGUUCUAACGUGGACCCGUAAUCCGGGUUGCGGACAGUGUCUGGUGGGUAGUUUGACUGGGGCGGUCUCCUCCUAAAGAGUAACGGAGGAGCACGAAGGUUGGCUAAUCCUGGUCGGACAUCAGGAGGUUAGUGCAAUGGCAUAAGCCAGCUUGACUGCGAGCGUGACGGCGCGAGCAGGUGCGAAAGCAGGUCAUAGUGAUCCGGUGGUUCUGAAUGGAAGGGCCAUCGCUCAACGGAUAAAAGGUACUCCGGGGAUAACAGGCUGAUACCGCCCAAGAGUUCAUAUCGACGGCGGUGUUUGGCACCUCGAUGUCGGCUCAUCACAUCCUGGGGCUGAAGUAGGUCCCAAGGGUAUGGCUGUUCGCCAUUUAAAGUGGUACGCGAGCUGGGUUUAGAACGUCGUGAGACAGUUCGGUCCCUAUCUGCCGUGGGCGCUGGAGAACUGAGGGGGGCUGCUCCUAGUACGAGAGGACCGGAGUGGACGCAUCACUGGUGUUCGGGUUGUCAUGCCAAUGGCACUGCCCGGUAGCUAAAUGCGGAAGAGAUAAGUGCUGAAAGCAUCUAAGCACGAAACUUGCCCCGAGAUGAGUUCUCCCUGAGACUUAGAGUCUCCUGAAGGAACGUUGAAGACGACGACGUUGAUAGGCCGGGUGUGUAAGCGCAGCGAUGCGUUGAGCUAACCGGUACUAAUGAACCGUGAGGCUUAACCUUACAACGCCGAAG
Molecule: ribosomal RNA, 2928 nt
Filed under: Salmonella enterica subsp. enterica serovar Ouakam str. SA20034636
Lineage: Bacteria; Pseudomonadati; Pseudomonadota; Gammaproteobacteria; Enterobacterales; Enterobacteriaceae
Description: bacterial LSU rRNA
Rfam family: Bacterial large subunit ribosomal RNA
Source: RNAcentral